Molecule: ribosomal RNA, 324 nt
Filed under: bacterium endosymbiont of Otiorhynchus salicicola
Lineage: Bacteria
Description: bacterial SSU rRNA
Rfam family: Bacterial small subunit ribosomal RNA
Source: RNAcentral
CAGAUUGAACGCUGGCGGCAAGCUUAACACAUGCAAGUCGAGCGGCAUCGUAAAAGUUUUACUUUUGACGGCGAGCGGCGUACGGGUGAGUAAUAUCUGGGAAUCUACCUAAUGAAGGGGGACAACUAUUGGAAACGAUAGCUAAUACCGCGUAAUGUCAUUAUUGACCAAAGUAGGGGAUUUAAUUUUUUAAUUAAACCUUAUGUCAUUAGAUGAGCCCAGACGAGAUUAGCUUGUAGGUGAGGUAAUGGCUUACCUAGGCUACGAUCUCUAGCUGGUCUGAGAGGACAAACAGCCACACUGGAACUGAGACACGGUCCAGAC